RNAcentral lists this ribosomal RNA (440 nucleotides) under uncultured bacterium. RNAcentral describes it as "partial 16S ribosomal RNA". It matches the Rfam family "Bacterial small subunit ribosomal RNA", at positions 338 to 795 of the family's 1533-position model. The record is from RNAcentral.
CCUACGGGAGGCAGCAGUGGGGAAUAUUGCACAAUGGGGGAAACCCUGAUGCAGCGACGCCGCGUGAGCGAUGAAGGAUCUCGGUAUGUAAAGCUCUAUCAGCAGGGAAGAAGAUGACGGUACCUGACUAAGAAGCCCCGGCUAACUACGUGCCAGAAGCCGUGGGAACACGCAGGGGGCAAGGGUUAUCCGGAUUUACUGGGUGUAAAGGGAGCGUAGUCGGCGAUGCAAGCCAGAUGUGAAAGCCCGGGGCUCAACCCCGGGACUGCAUUUGGAACUGUGUGGCUGGAGUGUCGGAGAGGCAGGCGGAAUUCCUGGUGUAGCGGUGAAAUGCGUAGAUAUUAGGAGGAACACCAGUGGCGAAGGCGGCCUGCUGGACGAUGACUGACGUUGAGGCUCGAAAGCGUGGGGAGCAAACAGGAUUAGAUACCCCAGUAGUC